RNAcentral lists this ribosomal RNA (388 nucleotides) under uncultured bacterium. Its description in RNAcentral is "bacterial SSU rRNA". It matches the Rfam family "Bacterial small subunit ribosomal RNA", at positions 28 to 417 of the family's 1533-position model. The record is from RNAcentral.
GACGAACGCUGGCGGCGUGCUUAACACAUGCAAGUCGAACGGUAAGGCCCUUUCGGGGGUACACGAGCGGCGAACGGGUGAGUAACACGUGGGUGACCUGCCCUUAGCUCUGGGAUAAGCCUGGGAAACUGGGUCUAAUACCGGAUAUGACUCCAUGACGCAUGUUGUGGGGUGGAAAGCCUUGUGCGGCUAGGGAUGGGCCCGCGGCCUAUCAGCUUGUUGGUGGGGUGAUGGCCUACCAAGGCGACGACGGGUAGCCGGCCUGAGAGGGCGACCGGCCACACUGGGACUGAGACACGGCCCAGACUCCUACGGGAGGGCAGCAGUGGGGAAUCUUGCGCAAUGGGCGAAAGCCUGACGCAGCGACGCCGCGUGGGGAUGACGGCCU